RNAcentral lists this ribosomal RNA (449 nucleotides) under uncultured bacterium. RNAcentral's name for it is "partial 16S ribosomal RNA". It matches the Rfam family "Bacterial small subunit ribosomal RNA", at positions 330 to 795 of the family's 1533-position model. The record is from RNAcentral.
CCCAGACUCCUACGGGAGGCAGCAGUGGGGGAUAUUGCACAAUGGGGGGAACCCUGAUGCAGCGACGCCGCGUGGGUGAAGGAGCGUUUCGGCGCGUAAAGCCCUCUCGGCAGGGAAGAAGGAGGACGGUACCUGACUAAGAAGCCCCGGCUAACUACGUGCCAGCAGCCGCGGUAAUACGUAGGGGGCAAGCGUUAUCCGGAUUUACUGGGUGUAAAGGGGGCGCAGACGGCAGCGCAAGCCAGGAGUGAAAGCCCGGGGCCCAACCCCGGGACUGCUCUUGGAACUGCGCGGCUGGAGUGCAGGAGGGGCAGGCGGAAUUCCUGGUGUAGCGGUGAAAUGCGUAGAUAUAAGGAGGAACACCGGUGGCGAAGGCGGCCUGCUGGACUGCGACUGACGUUGAGGCCCGAAAGCGUGGGGAGCAAACAGGAUUAGAUACCCCUGUAAUA